Zea mays is the source of this 1980-nucleotide RNA transcript. RefSeq lists it as uncharacterized. The transcript has 11 exons. The record is from RefSeq and is marked validated. NCBI's taxonomy places the organism in Eukaryota, Viridiplantae, Streptophyta, Magnoliopsida, Poales, Poaceae.
GUGUUCUUUCUGCCCGCAAAUCCAAGCUCGACGGCUAGUCCCGCUAACACUCUCCGGCAACUUACGCCGGCUUCCACCUCCGGAAAGCUCCACUUCGCGGCGUUCCCGCUCCGCCUCCCCCGCCAUGCCUGCGCAAGGACCUAUCGCUCCGCCGCAUUCGGGAGGGGAUCGCCUGUGGCCGGGCGUAGAGAGAAGGACUACUACGCCACGCUGAACAUCCGCCGCGACUCCACGCUCCAGGAGAUCAAGUCUGCCUACCGGAUUCUUGCCCGCAAGUACCAUCCUGAUAUGAAUAAGAGUCCUGAAGCAGAAGAAAAGUUCAAGGAGAUCAGUGCUGCAUAUGAGGUUCUAUCUGAUCAAGACAAAAGAUCAUUAUAUGAUCGCUUUGGAGAAGAGGGGCUCAGCGGUGACUACAGAAAUGGAGAUAUUGGCACACAUGGGAUUGAUCCAUAUGAACUCUUCAAUGCUUUCUUUGGUAGUUCCGACAAACUUUUUGGGGAUAGUAUGGGGUCUGGGGGAUUUCAUUAUAGUGCAGAAGCAAAGGACAAUAGGGCACUUAACAUCAGCUAUAAUCUGCUCCUUUCUUUUGAAGAGUCCAUCCUCGGAGGCAAACGUGAAAUCAAUGUUUUUCGCCAUGAAACAUGUGGCACCUGCCAUGGAACUGGAGCUAAAUGUAGCAAUGACAUUACAGAAUGCACCCGAUGCAGAGGUCAAGGCAGGUUGAUGAAAACUCAAAGGACACCUUUUGGUAUAGUUUCUCAGAUAUCUUCAUGCUUAAAUUGUGAAGGCAGCGGGAAGGUAAUUACUGAACAUUGCACAGAAUGUUACGGUUCGGGCAGAGUCCAAAUUGAACGCAUUAUCAAAGUAGAUAUACCUGGAGGUAUUGAUGAUGGCUCCACCAUUCGAAUUAGUGGUGGAGGUAAUGUUGAUAAGCAAAGGGGUGCAAGUGGUGACCUGUAUAUAUUUGUUCGCGUUAAUAAAAAACAAGGCAUCCACAGAGAUGGUCUCAAUCUGUACUCAGAUGCUUCAGUUGAUUAUACUGAUGUGAUUUUAGGUACCACAGUGAAGGUUGAAACAAUAGAAGGACUCAAGGAUCUUCACAUUCCUCCUGGCACCCAGCCUGGAGAGAACUUAAAAUUUUCUCAGCUGGGAGUUCCCGACAUUAAGAAGCCUAAUGUCAGAGGAGAUCACUACUUCAUGAUAAAGUGGCCAGGAACGUUUGCUAGUUGAAGAGCUUGCUGCACUAAAGAAAGCUCAGAAUAUCUCAGUUCCAGAACCUACAAAGAUAGAAAAUUUUCGGGAGAGAAACCAUCAUCCAUCUGCAAAGAGAAGAUCAUUCUGGGGACGUGUCUGGAAUUUUUUCAGGGAUGAUAAAGGUGAUAAAAGAUUUGCUUCAAUCAGUGUGCAACCUAUUAUCCCAGGAUGGAAUUCUUGCCGAGGAACUGAUACGGCUGUCCCCUUGCUAUUAAAAGGAUUCCUCAUGACCGCAAUAUUCUUAUUUGUAAUCAGAAGUAAACUCAGGUACACUGGGAAGCGCAUUGACCGUCCAACUCAAGCUGAAAUACCUGUUGAGCCAGAGUGAAUUUCUGUCGUCUUCAUUUCUGAACGUUUGCGACAUCACAGUUUUGAUGAUGAUCAUAAAUACGUAACUUUGCCGCGCAAAGCUUCGUCCUGGGAAAAGAAUCCGGCUUUGCUUGCAGUGUAUGGUAUCCAGACGCAGCAGUACAGGUUAACAGAAUAUGGGUUGCUUCUCAUUAGUCAUUUCUUGAUUCAUUAUUCCAAUAUGUAGAAGACACCUGCAGCAAUUCCGAGUUUUGACGAAAGCCACAUGAAAGACAUGAAGAAACAUGGCCGUAGGCUAAUGUACACUGUAUGUAUCUUGUCUGCACAAAGUUUUGUAACCAUCCCGGCUUGAUAUCGUUUAACGAUUUUGUUGCAACAUAAUUCAUAAGCACUGAAUUUAUGCAAACAACAGUUCUG